AACGAACGCUGGCGGCAGGCCUAACACAUGCAAGUCGAACGCUCGUAGCAAUACGAGAGUGGCAGACGGGUGAGUAACACGUGGGAACCUUCCCUAUGGUUCGGAAUAGCUCAGGGAAACUUGGGGUAAUACCGGAUAAGCCCUUCGGGGAAGGAUUUAUCGCCAUUGGAUGGGCCCGCGUAGGAUUAGCUAGUUGGUGAGGUAAAGGCUCACCAAGGCGACGAUCCUUAGCUGGUCUGAGAGGAUGAUCAGCCACACUGGGACUGAGACACGGCCCAGACUCCUACGGGAGGCAGCAGUGGGGAAUAUUGGACAAUGGGCGCAAGCCUGAUCCAGCCAUGCCGCGUGAGUGACGAAGGUCUUCGAUUGUAAACUCUUUUGGCGGGACGAUAAUGACGGUACCCGCAGAAUAAGCCCCGCUAACUUCGUGCCAGCAGCCGCCGUAA
Molecule: ribosomal RNA, 446 nt
Filed under: uncultured bacterium
Lineage: Bacteria
Description: bacterial SSU rRNA
Rfam family: Bacterial small subunit ribosomal RNA
Source: RNAcentral